AGGUGCUGCACGGCUGUCGUCAGCUCGUGUCGUGAGAUGUUGGGUUAAGUCCCGCAACGAGCGCAACCCUCGAAUUUAGUUACUAACAGGUUAAGCUGAGGACUCUAGAUUGACUGCCUGGGUAACCAGGAGGAAGGUGAGGACGACGUCAAGUCAUCAUGGCCCUUACGGCCAGGGCUACACACGUGCUACAAUGGGGUAUACAAAGAGCCGCAAUACCGCGAGGUGGAGCAAAUCUCAUAAAAUAUCUCCCAGUUCGGAUAGUAGUCUGCAACUCGACUACUUGAAGUUGGAAUCGCUAGUAAUCGUGAAUCAGCAACGUCACGGUGAAUACGUUCCCGGGUCUUGUACUCACCGCCCGUCACACCAUGGGAAUUGAAUUCAUUCGAAGCGGGGAUGCUAAAAUAGCUACCUUCCACAGUGGAUUUAGUAACUAGGGUGAAGUCGUAACAAGGUA
Molecule: ribosomal RNA, 457 nt
Filed under: uncultured bacterium
Lineage: Bacteria
Description: bacterial SSU rRNA
Rfam family: Bacterial small subunit ribosomal RNA
Source: RNAcentral